Molecule: long non-coding RNA, 210 nt
Filed under: Homo sapiens (human)
Lineage: Eukaryota; Metazoa; Chordata; Mammalia; Primates; Hominidae
Description: non-protein coding lnc-MED21-3:1
Source: RNAcentral
CCUUCAAGAAAAGGGAGCACUUUACAAUGAGUGAGAAAAUUGAUUUCUAAAGUCAUUUUACUGAAGAAAAAUUCUCCUUUCCAUCCCCAUGUUCUGCUUGGGGAAAAUCUUGGCCCCAAAGAUGGAUGACAGAAGGACUGAUGAAAGUGAAACUUAAAAACAACUAUCCAAACACACAUUAACUAUGAAGAUGUUUGAAGGGUUUUCUUU